RNAcentral lists this ribosomal RNA (426 nucleotides) under uncultured bacterium. Its description in RNAcentral is "partial 16S ribosomal RNA". It matches the Rfam family "Bacterial small subunit ribosomal RNA", at positions 354 to 796 of the family's 1533-position model. The record is from RNAcentral.
GUGAGGAAUUUUCCGCAAUGGGCGAAAGCCUGACGGAGCAAUGCCGCGUGAAGGAUGAAGGCCUAUGGGUUGUAAACUUCUUUUCUUGGAGAAGAAUAUUGACGGUAUCUGAGGAAUAAGCAUCGGCUAACUCCGUGCCAGCAGCCGCGGUAAUACGGAGGGUGCAAGCGUUAUCCGGAAUCAUUGGGUUUAAAGGGUCCGCAGGCGGGAUUGUAAGUCAGUGGUGAAAUCCGGCAGCUCAACUGUCGCACUGCCAUUGAUACUGCAGUCCUUGAAUUCGAUUGGAGUGGGCGGAAUAUGUCAUGUAGCGGUGAAAUGCUUAGAUAUGACAUAGAACACCGAUAGCGAAGGCAGCUCACUAAGUCUGAAUUGACGCUCAUGGACGAAAGCGCGGGUAGCAAACAGGAUUAGAUACCCUGGUAGUCC